UACGAAGGGGGCUAGCGUUGCUCGGAAUUACUGGGCGUAAAGAGCUUGUAGGCGGUUUGUCGCGUCUGCUGUGAAAAUCCGAGGCUCAACCUCGGACUUGCAGUGGGUACGGGCAGACUAGAGUGUGGUAGGGGAGACUGGAAUUCCUGGUGUAGCGGUGGAAUGCGCAGAUAUCAGGAGGAACACCGAUGGCGAAGGCAGGUCUCUGGGCC
This 212-nucleotide ribosomal RNA is filed under the name uncultured bacterium. RNAcentral's name for it is "partial 16S ribosomal RNA". It matches the Rfam family "Bacterial small subunit ribosomal RNA", at positions 524 to 735 of the family's 1533-position model. The record is from RNAcentral.